AGGCCGGAUCGAGCCGCGCUCUGGCCCCGCCCCGGCUUCGGGCUGGUUCGCCCCGCCCCUCGCGCCCUGCCCGCCCGCCUCACCCAGCCUCGCCGGGACCCUGCUCCAGCUCUCCGCCCUGGGCAAGUCGGGGCAGGGGGGGCUCGCUAACCCCUACCGGGAGGAAAACCCUGGCCCUGCUGUGAUUCCCCAAAACUCUGGGAAUUGGCCAUGCCCCCCGAUCGGACCUCCAGGUCCCCUAACGCUCAAGAAGUCCUCAGCCAGUACGACUCCAGGUUCAAAGAGAAAGUUUGGGGUUUGGUAAACAUUAAACAAUUUAAGAGAUGUAUGUAUUCGAGACUUGCAACAGUAUCCAGAUGCUCCUGAACGCGGAGACAAACCACUCACACUACCUUUGCUCUAAGAACACUGCUCCGCAAACAUUGGUUCAAGAAAAGGUCCACAGAACUCCUAUCCAGCCCUAGACCCAGAGAAAUUCUGAAUUUACCACCAAAUGUGUUUUUCAGAACCAAAAAAGUGACCGGUUUCCCACCCCCAAUAAGCAGGCUUUUAAGAAAGUAGAUUGGCCCUGGGAAGUUUGUAAAUCUUCAACUAGUGGUUGCCACUAUCUUAAGGGAAGUAUUUACAGUGAGUAAACUGCGUGAAUAAUACCCUGGUAUGUGAUGAGGGGGAUGAUUUCCUGGUCCUGAGGUCGUUAACUGCGCUGCCCUAAGAAGGAAGAAACUGACUUAAUGGAGCAGGGCUGUUCUUUGCCAGUCAGUCAAGAGAUGUUUUUUUAAGAGUCGGACAUACAGAGAUGGCCUUAGGUCGGAAGACAGAGCCCCAGCCCUUGAGUGCCUCGGUCUGGAAGGGCACACAGAAAAAGGCAAGCGGGCACGAUGAUAGAAGCAAUCAGAGAGACAAGGAAGAAGCAGCGCUGGAGAAGGCCACAUGGAAGGUGAAGUGUCUCAGAGAGACCUCAGGCAGUAGAGGCCACUGUUUCUGCAUAGACCACAGUGUCUGUGCACACUGGUCAUGUAAACUGGGUGUUGUUCUUGGAUGUCACAGGAUGGCUGUGGUAGCUGGAAACACCUACAUCAGAUCUUGGAGUACUCUGACCAGGAUUUCCUACUGAAGACUCACAUCAUUCUGAAUGUAUCAACUGUCUUAGUCUAAUCAUUGUUAAUGGGCCUGAAGACAGGCACCUCAUCAUCAGAUAACCAACACUGCUUGUUACCGGGUAGUCUGGACCAAAUCAAUGUUUUAUUGUGAGAGGGGGGGUCAAUAUCCAUGAAGUCAGAGAGUUCUGUCCACCACAGCUUGUCUUCCAACCAUAUUACCUGUGUUCAACUGAAAAUAUUUCGACACAUUUACCGCCCAAAGUUAAUUUUCUGAAUCUUCCCCAUA
Mesocricetus auratus (golden hamster) is the source of this 1386-nucleotide long non-coding RNA. RefSeq lists it as uncharacterized. Lineage: Eukaryota; Metazoa; Chordata; Mammalia; Rodentia; Cricetidae. The record is from RefSeq and is a predicted model, not a curated record. The transcript has 3 exons.